Molecule: long non-coding RNA, 3237 nt
Filed under: Sus scrofa (pig)
Lineage: Eukaryota; Metazoa; Chordata; Mammalia; Artiodactyla; Suidae
Description: lncRNA (ENSSSCG00000059655.1)
Source: RNAcentral
CAACCAGAGGAGAGGGUGGACUCAUGUCCAAAGACCAACUCCCCCUGCCAAUCAGUGGGGAAGAGCUUUUAAAGGGGAGUUUCAGGGAUGUCUAGGUGGAAGGAGGGGGCUACAUGUAGAACAACUUAUUUAGCUCAGACAAUCACCUUGAAAUUAAUCAUGUGGUAGUCUGAUCAGUAUCAUGUUGAUUGUUUUAAAAACAGUUAAUCUUUAGUUCCAAAAACCCGGAAUCAGUUUGUUCCCAUUUCCUUGAGGCUGGUUCUCAGAAUUGUGGCAACUUAUAUCAUGACUACCCUCUGGUCAUUACGUAGCUAACUUCUCCCACCUGGUGGGGAUUUCAGUAUCUACAAAACAGCUCAAAAGAUAUGGCUCAGAAUAUUAUCGAUAGCCCUUGAGGAGGAACUAAAUGUCCUUAAUUUGCUUAAUAACUAAACUAUUAUUAUUUUGUCCUGUUUGACUAUUUUUCCUUUGUUUCUGCAUUUUCUCAUUUCUCUGAUUAAAUGUAUUCUUUGGCUAAAGUUUUUCUAUUGACAAAAGGCGGGCAGAGAACCUUGAGGGGGUCUAUCCUGGGAAGGUUCCAUAGGGUCCUGCUCCAUUUCACAGACAGUAUAUUUUUAAAUAGAUCCUAGAAAUAAAUGCCCAAAUAUUGUCCAAUGAGUGAGGCAACUCAACUGCUGCUAUUUAACCACAAGCAUGGUUUUUAAUGAAGACGACUAAUUCAAGAUGUCCAAGGCAAAUGUGCUGUUCUGCAUUGAUUGAUAUUUCUGUUGCUGAAGGAGUGAUAUUCUAUUUCCAGCAGAGUUUUUCUUACUGUGAGCCCCAAUGAAACCUCAGGAAUGUUAAAUCCCAGUAUUACUACCCAUACUGGAGGGGGAAUUGAUUUUUUUGGGAGUCAACAAAAAUUUUAUACAUCUUUGAGAGAAAAAAAAAUCAUAGGACUUAGUUAUGAUUAACGGAAAAGGCUCUGUAUGGCACUAUGAGGAAUAAUUAAGCUAUAAAUUUCAUCUUUGUUUGCAAAAUGAAUAACACCUUUUAAAAAAAUAUGAUCCACUCUUUUUCCCCAACUUUAUCUGUCUAAGUAAAUAUAAUUAGGUAACAGAUGAUGGUUUGUUAGCAUUUUAUUUCUUGUGUUUGCAAGGGCAUUAACAGUGAUCAUAAAGCUCACAACAAAUAUGGUCGAUUUUUGAUUUUUCAGAGGUGAGAACGUGACUUUUGAGAAUCAGAUAGGCCAGAAGCAGGCAUUCUUGCAAAUUAAAUCUUCCUGUAUUCUGAAUAGGAUCAGAGAGACUUUUGUCUUAGCUGAUUUGCAUGCACUAAUUGCUAACUCUGAGUAAAUGUGGAGUGAUCACCUACACAAUUACAUUCAUAAAUUAAUAUUUUUACUUCACAGUUAUUUACACACAGGAAGAAACAGUACAAAUAAUUUUAAGGCUGUGUCUACACUUAUAUAAUGAAGUGGUUAAUUAAAGUAAUGAGCUAGUUAAUGACAAGCCUAGAAAUUUUUCAUGAAAUAUCCAUAUAAGGGAGGAAGAAAUGUCUUUGCCUGAAUAAUUUUCAUAAUUGCCUCAACAUUUGAUUUCACUUUCUAUGCACAGAGACAUGCCUCAAAUGAUAACUCUGGUUAUGAAUCUAAAUUAUCUUUUGACUUCUUGUGGGUGGUCUAGAUCCCAGGGCUAACUGCCAAAGUAACAAGAUUAAACCAGAGCUGUCAUACACAGAAAGAAAACAGCCCCGUCCCCAAAAAUUACACUGGACACAGGCUGAUUCAGGCAAGUAGGUCGCACUGAAUAUAUGGAAACAGAAGCUAACCUGUGUCUAGAGUAAAUCAGCCAUUGACUGUUAAUACCAGGGAGCUCCUUUAUCAGACUGAUCCAUCCCAAUUUUAGAGGGCCCAUCAUUUUGAGAUCUCUGAUCCUUUGGUCCAAUAUAUCUCUGGAGACCUAUUGAUUGGAGACCAAAUUUCCCUUUUGCUUCACAUCUGCAGUUGAGGAACCUGCAGCAAACCCUAAUCAUUUGGGUUUGGACAACCACUUCACUUAUUUGGGGAAAAAAAAAUCUAUUUCAGCAAAGGGUCUUGCAUCUACCCAGAUCCCCAAAACAGAACCCUAGUGGUCAUCCUUGAUUCUUUGCUUUCCCUUGUGUUGGUAUGAGCCACCAUCAUCUCUGAUCAUGGCAACAACCUCUGCCCUGGUCUCCUUUCUUCCACUCUUGACCCCCUCAACCACACCCUGACCCCCAAAGCCUAUUCUCAAUGCAGCAUCCAGCAUAAUUUUUUAAAAUGUGCAUCAUAUUUAUCCAUCCUCUACUCAGAACCUUGUGAUGGCUGGGGCUGAAGCUAUAUGACAUGCUCUGGGUCUGGAAGCAUAUAGAGGAGGUCAGUAGAUCAGUUUCUGUGGGAUAACUUGGAGUAAGUUUUGCUUGAAAAGAUGGGGAAUUAAACCCCUCUCACUACUUGAAGCCAUGGCUAGGGGUGGAACUCCUCUGUCAAGUUCAAGGAUGCUUUGGCCCAGGAAUAUGAUUUAUGAGAAAAUCAGCAUCUAGAGAGGUGAAAGGACAUGGAUACAGCCUCUUGACCCUGACCUGAUCCAAUAUUGCCUUGGAUAUUAAUAAGGUCCCCUAGCUUGGGAGCCAAGAGCAGUUAACUGCAGUGAGUUUUAGCCUGAGGCCUCUAGAGGAGAUCAUGUGAAGGCAACUGUAAAACCAUUAGAUAGCAGGAGGUAAGCCCCCCAAUAAAGAUGGAAAAAUAAAAACCUCCCACCUUAGAGUCUGAAGACCUAAAUUCUAAAGCAUGAGAAGGAAACUAAUUCUAAGAAGGGGAAACAAAACUGGUCAAAAAGCAAAUUUACUUAAGAUGAAAGAAAAUAAUUUUUAAAAAUCUAAUAAAUAUAGUUUAUUUCCACAAAGAAAUAUAAUGUACUUUGGAAUUUAAAAAAAAUUAUAGAAUAAGUAAAAAUAAAAAAAAAUUCAUGGCUAAUAAAGCAAAUGAAUUAGAAAGGUUCAAAUGAAAUAUUACACUGAUUGGACUUUUAAAAAAAUCAGUAGAGGGGCCAAACUCUAGAUAAAAGAUUUGAAGAGAAAAUUACUGAACUGGAAGAUAAAACUGGGGGAUUCUCUCAGCAUACAGCAUUUAAAUCCAAAUACAUAAAAAUACAAAAGAAUAGUUAAUAUACGUGGAUUAUAAAUUAUUUUGGAUAUAAUUCCAUUAAGAGCUCCAGGGGAAAAGAAUGAGAAGAAUAC